GGAGCCUACACAUGCAAGCCGAGCGGUAGAGAUCUUUCGGGAUCUUGAGAGCGGCGUACGGGUGCGGAACACGUGUGCAACCUGCCUUUAUCUGGGGGAUAGCCUUUCGAAAGGAAGAUUAAUACCCCAUAAUAUACUGAAUGGCAUCAUUCGGUAUUGAAAACUCCGGUGGAUAGAGAUGGGCACGCGCAAGAUUAGAUAGUUGGUGAGGUAACGGCUCACCAAGUCUACGAUCUUUAGGGGGCCUGAGAGGGUGAUCCCCCACACUGGUACUGAGACACGGACCAGACUCCUACGGGAGGCAGCAGUGAGGAAUAUUGGACAAUGGGUGAGAGCCUGAUCCAGCCAUCCCGCGUGAAGGACGACGGCCCUAUGGGUUGUAAACUUCUUUUGUAUAGGGAUAAACCUACCCUCGUGAGGGUAGCUGAAGGUACUAUACGAAUAAGCACCGGCUAACUCCGUGCCAGCAGCCGCGGUAAUACGGAGGGUGCAAGCGUUAUCCGGAUUUAUUGGGUUUAAAGGGUCCGUAGGCGGAUCUGUAAGUCAGUGGUGAAAUCUCACAGCUUAACUGUGAAACUGCCAUUGAUACUGCAGGUCUUGAGUGUUGUUGAAGUAGCUGGAAUAAGUAGUGUAGCGGUGAAAUGCAUAGAUAUUACUUAGAACACCAAUUGCGAAGGCAGGUUACUAAGCAACAACUGACGCUGAUGGACGAAAGCGUGGGGAGC
This 725-nucleotide ribosomal RNA is filed under the name Chryseobacterium cucumeris. Its description in RNAcentral is "bacterial SSU rRNA". It matches the Rfam family "Bacterial small subunit ribosomal RNA", at positions 43 to 769 of the family's 1533-position model. The record is from RNAcentral. Lineage: Bacteria; Pseudomonadati; Bacteroidota; Flavobacteriia; Flavobacteriales; Weeksellaceae.